UCUUGGUCAGAGCGUUGACAGGCCACUGCCGACUCAGCUAUUACAUGGCAAAUAUUCAGCGUGUUGGCUCAAGACAUGGGAGAUGGAGUUUUUAAAACUCGUUAAUGUUUAAUUGACGGCUUUUGCGUUUUCAUUGUUGUCUUACUAAAGUUUGAGUGGAACCAUUUUGAAUCGACAAGCUCGAUUUGCCGCUUCUCCUUCCUUACCGCAAUGCCUAUUCAUUCUGUUUGGACCUUAAUCGUGGUGCGUCUUCCUAUGCGUAAACUUGUGGGAAGAAAUUCGGCUCAACAGGAAUUCUACCACCAAUGGGGACAAUCGACCGAUAAAGAGGGAACAACAUCAAAAGAUAAGCGGAUGUUCGUUAUCAACUACCGAAAAAUAGACAGUCAAUCGACUCGGGUUGAAUGCAUCAACAAUGAUUGAUGGGGCACAUUCGUAAUCGGCCGUUAUAAAAGUACAAUUUGGACCAACAUCAUCUUUUAGUAGCGAUAAGAGAUCCGAUCGGGCAGCAAAGUGUGUGACGAAACGAAAAUGAAAAACGUUUGGCUUUUGGCAUGCCUGCUGGUGAUAGCCUACAGCUCUAGAGGCUGGGCUCAAUUAGAUACUCCUUGUUUCGGAACGGUCGGGAUGUCGCAGGUUCCGGAUCCGGAAAAUUGCCAGGCAUUUUAUAUUUGCAUCGACGGAGUUGGUUUCCCUCAGCAGUGCGGUCCCGGACUGAUCUUCGACGUCAUAACGAACAACUGUAAUCGGGAGGAGAUUUCCGUGUGUAUUGAUGAGGUUGCUACUCCUCCAACGCCAUCAGGAUAGUGAGAUUGAAGUGAAGUAGUAGAGGAAGGUUCUGGUUAAACGUGAAACUCUCAGAGGCGGCGAAUAAAUGAAUUUCUGUACAUAUGUUUUGUUAUCUUCAGUCAACAUUAUUAAACACAUAAAAUUUUAUAGGAACUCA
Long non-coding RNA from Aedes aegypti (yellow fever mosquito), 946 nucleotides. RefSeq lists it as uncharacterized. The transcript has 2 exons. The record is from RefSeq and is a predicted model, not a curated record. NCBI's taxonomy places the organism in Eukaryota, Metazoa, Arthropoda, Insecta, Diptera, Culicidae.